ACAAAAUCCCUAAAUUGGAGAAUUGAAAUCCCCAACUUCUUCCCCCUUCUUCCUCUCGGCGGAGACGCCGCCUCACCUGGUCGCCGGAUCGCCGCCGGCUUCAGCUCCUCGGCGGCACGGAGUCGCCGACGGUUGGUGCCAGCGAGUCUCGCCGUCGCGCGAGGUUUCGGAAACGGCGCCUCUAUCCAACGCCGCCAUCCGCCUCCGGCGGCGUCCCUCUCUGUCUUGCUCACUCCACCGCCGCUGCUGCCCGCGCGGCGGCUCGCCGUCGCAGCCUUCCAUCUAUCUCUCCCUCUGGUUCCUCCGCGACGCGGCUGUUGUCCGAGAGCUUGGAAGCUGCUCGUCGCGGCCUCCCAUUGCCGUCGCCGACGCUGCUAAAAUCUGCUUUUCAGACCAGCGCCGGCGCCGCCGCCUUCUCGCAGCCCUCCGUCGUUGUCCAGAUCGGGCAGCUCAAGCACAAAUUCCUUUAAAGCUAAGUUCUUUUCACUUCCUUCAUUCCUUAGCAUUUUGUUUAAAAAUUCUGGGCAGUAGCUAUGUGAUUAAAGACUUUAUUGUGGAGCUUAACUCACUGGAAUGAGCUUGAAAAGAUUAUCUUGCUAUGUUAAAUGUUGUUUCUUCGAUUCUAAGAGUUGGAGUUCUACUGGGGCUUUACAAAUCUGCAGUUAUCCUAUAAGUUUGGUUAAGAAACGUUGGUCUCUUGAUUAUUAAAGCUCGUUACUUGCUGUGAGGCUGGAUUUAGUAUGGUUAACACUUGUGCUAUGUGGUGAUUGAUCUAAACAUGAUGCAGAUAAGGUGUUGGGGUGUUGAGGUGUUUACCUCUUGAUGUAGUGAAGGGGUGAGGCUGCCCUUGUUGCUGCUUGAGAUCAGCUCCUAAGGCACCAAGCUUUCUAACUCUCUCUGAAAUUUGCUGGUUAUUUGAGAAGUGUGGGAGGGAGUUCGAAUAUGGUGUGGAGGCCCUUGCUUUAUAGGCUGAUUUUGUGUACCUUAGGGGAGUUAAUGAGGCUGACUUUGGUUGGUUUAUUGCCCAGCAUAUCUCUUGUUCUUGAUCCCAAAGCAGCCUUUUACAUGACACAUUUUGGUGCUACUUGGAGUACUAGAGUUUGACUAAUUAAUUUAGCUUGUUCUCACAUGCUCUCAUAGUACUUUGUUUCAUAACUUCAUUUGUUUGCAAGUUGCAGGCAAUCUCUCACUUCCUUGAUCUCCACUACUCUUGUUUGAAGGAACUUGGUGUUUUGCUAAGGACAAAGGGCUUCUCAUAUACUUAUUUUGGUGGUUUGUGUGGCUAGGAAAAGCUGAUGUGCAGGCUGUUUUGGAGGUGAGUGCAAGGCAGAUUUGGCUUUCCACAUUUGGGUAGGUCCUUAGUCCUUUAUCACUAAGGUGGGUCACCUUGGCUGUUUGAUGUUCGCGGGCUCGGCCCGUCGUUCGGCCGGUGGGUUGCUCAAACGGGCCACGAUUUGGGCCUGAGGAGGAAGGCCCGAAUAGCAUCUAAAUUUUAUUUUCUUUGUUUUCUUUCCUCGAAGCCUUGAUCCACAUAUUGUAGUAUUUUUGACAUUAGUUGUUCGUCUGUUGUAUUAGAAAUGUUAUUCGAAAAUUUCAUGAUAUUCUACAAAUGUAAAUUUCCAACUUCUUAGUUCAA
Salvia hispanica is the source of this 1636-nucleotide long non-coding RNA. RefSeq lists it as uncharacterized. The record is from RefSeq and is a predicted model, not a curated record. Lineage: Eukaryota; Viridiplantae; Streptophyta; Magnoliopsida; Lamiales; Lamiaceae.